CAUUCUUUUCCUCAGAGGAUACUCUUGGACAUAAGUAUGCUACCAUAUUUACUUCCAUUUAUUCACUAUUUUUCACUAUCGUUGUUCUAGAUGUUUCUUGAGCAGCUUCAAUCCCCCAAGAAUCUGAAGUCCAAGAGAGGUUGCCUGGGGACUAUCUCAUCUAGAGUUCAAGUCACUGCAGAGUUCCAGAGACUUAGAUGGGGAAAAUCAUGAAUAAGACAUAAGUACAGUCAGUUGCACUCAGGCUGAAAAGGUGUCGUGAGGAGCUACAUGCAGCCUGCAAAUUGUCCACAACAAAGUGUAUCAAGCACAGUAAUUGUGUUUAUGCAUUGUCAUGAUGAAAUAAACCUCAUGAUGGCUUAGCCAGAAGUGGCAAACCUGUCAGUCCUCAACUGACAACUAGAAUUGGGACCAGAAUUUCCAUCGCUAAGGGAAUGAGGCCGUAAUGUGUGAUGUCACGAGACGGCAGUCCCAGGAUUGACACUGAAGUAAAGAUUUGGGGGAGGGAUGGGGUCUGCCGGCUAAGACUGCUGAAGGCCCCAGGUUUCUCCUUCGGCCCCAGCCUUGCUGCUGCUGCCAUGGAUUACCAUUGUGCCAGACAACCAAAAGGGGGGGCAGAUAGGUGGGUGACGGGAGUUAAACCACCCCUGUGUUAAUUCAUGAGGGGAUUCUCUUAAGCACCUGAAUGUUGAUCACAUGAAAGAGGAGCACUACAAUGGCUGGAACUGGGGACCAACUGUAAUAUUUUUCAGCACCAUGCAUCUUUGAACUAGUCCCUAACAAAGGGUCAUAAGUUGAAGACUACCUGUAUGGAUUUUGCUGUGAUUUUUUAACCUGUAUGUUGUGAAUAAGAGCCAUUAAUAAACUACCCAAGUUCAACAUAUCUGAUUUUUUAAUCUACUUAUCUACCUACCUACCUACCUACCUAUUUAUCUAUCUAUCUAUUUAUCUAUCUAUCUCCUUCUCUCACGUGCAUUUUUAAGAUCUGUCUAUCUGUCCCAUAGAGGGACUCUCGGCAGUGUACAAGUGAGAAAUAUUAAGACAUAAAAAGAGUAUGCAAAAUGUACAAGACAGGGACGGGUUAAAAAAAUAUUGAAAGUUAAUUAAAAGGCAGGGCAGGGCUUCAGGGCCCUAGCCAGCCCCAUAGCUGUGUGCUCUUCUGGGAGCCUCCCGAAGGCCAGGAGAGUGGGAGCCUGUCCCACCUGUGUGGCACAGAGUCGGCAGCACGCUUCCCUUGCCUCACUGAGUGGGAUGGGCUGAUGUAAUGGGAUGGACACAGUUCCGUAAGAAACCUA
This is a long non-coding RNA of Crotalus tigris (Tiger rattlesnake), 1295 nucleotides long. RefSeq lists it as uncharacterized. The transcript has 3 exons. NCBI's taxonomy places the organism in Eukaryota, Metazoa, Chordata, Lepidosauria, Squamata, Viperidae. The record is from RefSeq and is a predicted model, not a curated record.